RNAcentral lists this long non-coding RNA (391 nucleotides) under Vulpes vulpes (red fox). RNAcentral's name for it is "lncRNA (ENSVVUG00000024547.1)". Lineage: Eukaryota; Metazoa; Chordata; Mammalia; Carnivora; Canidae. The record is from RNAcentral.
GGAAGAGCUGACACUGCCUGCGUGAAAGACAGGAGCCCAGGGCUCUCUCCUGAGAUACAAAUUGUAAGAAGCCACCAUGGGGCCAGGACCCUCCCCUGUGGAAUUUAUCCUUAUUGAAUAAUGGAGCGCUGCCCAUUUCAGCUUGAAGGCUGCUGAUCUUUCCUUUUCAUUUCUUUACCUUCAACAGGUGUCAGCUGAGCUCUGUCUAUGUGUCAGGCCCACAGCUUGACCCCAGGACACUUUCAGAAGAGUCCAGUUUUGGUGGAAGCCGGACAUGUGUAUAUAUGUAAUGAGGGUCUCAGGAGUGUGCAAGUGAAAUCUAACUGGAUCAGUGAGGGCAGUAAGGAGCUGUGGAUGCUGGGUCUUACCUACACAUUUGAGAGUGAGCAGG